GGCGAUGGCCGAGCGGCUUAGGCAACGACCUGAAAAAUCGUUUUAGGUGGGUUCGACUCCCAUUCGCUCCA
RNAcentral lists this transfer RNA (71 nucleotides) under Bacteroides sp. Its description in RNAcentral is "tRNA-Phe". It matches the Rfam family "tRNA". From Rfam's summary of the family: Transfer RNA (tRNA) molecules are approximately 80 nucleotides in length. Their secondary structure includes four short double-helical elements and three loops (D, anti-codon, and T loops). Lineage: Bacteria; Pseudomonadati; Bacteroidota; Bacteroidia; Bacteroidales; Bacteroidaceae. RNAcentral also lists the same sequence under 3 other names. The record is from RNAcentral.